AGAGUUUGAUCCUGGCUCAGGAUGAACGCUAGCGGCAGGCUUAACACAUGCAAGUCGAGGGGCAGCGGGGAGGAAGCUUGCUUUCUCCGCCGGCGACCGGCGCACGGGUGAGUAACACGUAUGCAACCUGCCCCUGUCAGGGGGACAACCCGCCGAAAGGCGGGCUAAACCCGCGUACAUGCCACCGGGGCAUCCCGGAGGCAGGAAAGGCUUCGGCCGGACAGGGAUGGGCAUGCGGCGCAUUAGGCAGUAGGCGGGGUAACGGCCCACCUAACCGACGAUGCGUAGGGGUUCUGAGAGGAAGGUCCCCCGCACUGGUACUGAGACACGGACCAGACUCCUACGGGAGGCAGCAGUGAGGAAUAUUGGUCAAUGGUCGGGAGACUGAACCAGCCAAGCCGCGUGAGGGAGGAAGGUACAGAGUAUCGUAAACCUCUUUUGUCAGGGAACAAAGGCGGGGACGUGUCCCCGGAUGAGUGUACCUGAAGAAAAAGCAUCGGCUAACUCCGUGCCAGCAGCCGCGGUAAUACGGAGGAUGCGAGCGUUAUCCGGAUUUAUUGGGUUUAAAGGGUGCGCAGGCGGUCUGUUAAGUCAGCGGUCAAAGCCCGGGGCUCAACCCCGGCCCGCCGUUGAAACUGGCAGUCUCGAGUUGGAGAGAAGUAUGCGGAAUGCGCGGUGUAGCGGUGAAAUGCAUAGAUAUCGCGCAGAACUCCGAUUGCGAAGGCAGCAUGCCGGCUCCACACUGACGCUGAGGCACGAAAGCGUGGGUAUCGAACAGGAUUAGAUACCCUGGUAGUCCACGCAGUAAACGAUGAAUGCUGGCUGUCCGGGGGGAUUGACCCCUGGGUGGCGAAGCGAAAGCGAUAAGCAUUCCACCUGGGGAGUACGCCGGCAACGGUGAAACUCAAAGGAAUUGACGGGGGCCCGCACAAGCGGAGGAACAUGUGGUUUAAUUCGAUGAUACGCGAGGAACCUUACCCGGGCUCAAACGGGGAGUGACUCAGGCAGAGACGCCUGUUUCCCACGGGACACUCCCCGAGGUGCUGCAUGGUUGUCGUCAGCUCGUGCCGUGAGGUGUCGGCUUAAGUGCCAUAACGAGCGCAACCCCCGCGUGCAGUUGCUAACAGAUAACGCUGAGGACUCUGCACGGACUGCCGGCGCAAGCCGCGAGGAAGGCGGGGAUGACGUCAAAUCAGCACGGCCCUUACGUCCGGGGCGACACACGUGUUACAAUGGGUGGUACAGCGGGAAGCCAGGCGGCGACGCCGAGCGGAACCCGAAAUCCACUCUCAGUUCGGAUCGGAGUCUGCAACCCGACUCCGUGAAGCUGGAUUCGCUAGUAAUCGCGCAUCAGCCAUGGCGCGGUGAAUACGUUCCCGGGCCUUGCACACACCGCCCGUCAAG
RNAcentral lists this ribosomal RNA (1404 nucleotides) under uncultured bacterium. RNAcentral's name for it is "partial 16S ribosomal RNA". It matches the Rfam family "Bacterial small subunit ribosomal RNA". The record is from RNAcentral.